UGAGCAGUGAUGAGUAGCUAACGUGUAAGGAAAUCCUGCUUGCAGUGGGAUUUUCGAUGAAAUGUUUGUUACGCUUGGCUUCUGAGCUCU
Small nucleolar RNA from Alnus glutinosa, 90 nucleotides. RefSeq annotates it as small nucleolar RNA R24. The transcript has a single exon. NCBI's taxonomy places the organism in Eukaryota, Viridiplantae, Streptophyta, Magnoliopsida, Fagales, Betulaceae. The record is from RefSeq and is a predicted model, not a curated record.